This 490-nucleotide ribosomal RNA is filed under the name Lucinoma borealis. Its description in RNAcentral is "partial 16S ribosomal RNA". It matches the Rfam family "Bacterial large subunit ribosomal RNA", at positions 1825 to 2600 of the family's 2925-position model. Lineage: Eukaryota; Metazoa; Mollusca; Bivalvia; Lucinida; Lucinidae. The record is from RNAcentral.
CUCCUUUUGAGAGAGCAUAUACAAAAGGUAGGCCCUGCCCGGUGAUAAAUUUAACGGCUGCAAUGAAUAGUUGUGCUAAGGUAGCGCAAUCACUAGCCCCUUAAUUAGGGGCAGGAAUGAAUGGGUUGACGUGAAAUUAGCUGUCUCCUACUAAUAUAUAUAAUUUUACUUUUAGGUGAAAAGGCCUAGUUAGGCCCAAGGGACGAGAAGACCCUAUGAAAUUUUAUUCAGAUUAUAACUAGAGUAAUUGUGAUUGUGCAUGUUAUGAUUUUAAUUUAGCUGGGGCAGCAUGGGGCAUGGAGUGACUUCUAUUGGUUGUGUGUUUGAUCCAUUAUGUGAUGAGAGAUGGGAAUUACUCUAGGGAUAACAGAGCUAUUCACUCGGCGAGUACAAAUUGAUGAGUGAGAGAGCGACCUCGAUGUUGGACUAGGAUAUCCUUUAGGGGCAGAGGCUUAAAAGGGUUGGUCUGUUCGACCAUGAAAAUCUUACG